This 838-nucleotide long non-coding RNA is filed under the name Salvia miltiorrhiza (redroot sage). Its description in RNAcentral is "long non-coding RNA (SMIL_LNC000751)". Lineage: Eukaryota; Viridiplantae; Streptophyta; Magnoliopsida; Lamiales; Lamiaceae. The record is from RNAcentral.
UCUCUCUCUCUCUAUACACGUCACCUUCCCCCUUCUCUCUCAUCACUCUCGCCGCCCUCCACCCUCUUUCUCCCUACCUCUCUUCCCUCUUCUCUCCUGCCGGCGCCGCCCCAUCACACGUCACCUUCCCCCCGUCGGACCCUCCCCCUCCCCAGAACCGCAUCGCUGCUCUCGGCGGUGCGCCCCAUCACAGCCACCUUCCCAUCGAUGCGCCAGCCGCGCCAUGACGCUGCCCGAGCACAGCAGCUCGCCGCCGCCCGAACAGAAGCCGGCGAGAGUCGGGCGAAAUCGUGCAGAUCCAGAGCCUCCGCGGCACGCACCACCNUAUACACGUCACCUUCCCCCUUCUCUCUCAUCACUCUCGCCGCCCUCCACCCUCUUUCUCCCUACCUCUCUUCCCUCUUCUCUCCUGCCGGCGCCGCCCCAUCACACGUCACCUUCCCCCCACCGCACCCUCCCCCUCCCCAGAACCGCAUCGCUGCUCUCGGCGGUGCGCCCCAUCACAGCCACCUUCCCAUCGAUGCGCCAGCCGCGCCAUGACGCUGCCCGAGCACAGCAGCUCGCCGCCGCCCGAACAGAAGCCGGCGAGAGUCGGGCGAAAUCGUGCAGAUCCAGAGCCUCCGCGGCACGCACCACCUAGAUCUGUUGCUCAGUCAAACCGCGCGACUCACCGCAGCACCCACUCACAGUUUCAGAUUCGAAAACUCAGGAGCUCCCACCUCCUUCUCCGGUCACCAUCCGGACUUGACGGAUAAGAGUGGUCUGAAAACCGCCGCGAUAGAGCCCGCCGCCGCCUCUAGCCAGCCUAUCAGGCUUCGCCGUCGGAUCCAGGAGAGCC